Molecule: long non-coding RNA, 1005 nt
Filed under: Gossypium raimondii (Peruvian cotton)
Lineage: Eukaryota; Viridiplantae; Streptophyta; Magnoliopsida; Malvales; Malvaceae
Description: long non-coding RNA (GRAI_LNC009571)
Source: RNAcentral
AAAAAUCAUGGAGUUGAGAUAUUUUUUUAUGAUAUCAUUUUAAUAAUGAUAUCUCAUAUAUAUAAUUUUGGUACAAAAGCCAAUCUUUCUACAAAAUUUCAAUGUAUUUAAUAACUCAUUGUACCAAUUUACAAAUAAGCAAAAAAAAAUAAAUUAGAGGCCAAAACAAAAAACAUUACAAGCCCAAAUGAAAAAGAGACCCAGUGGCCCAAAACACUUAAACGAUUUCAGUAAAACUAAAAAUCCUAAUCCCAUUUGCCUCACUGCCACAUUAGAGCUCCUCGUCCCGAGGCCUGACACGCCUUGGUCGCUGUUUCACCAAAAUGGCCAGCGCAGGCCUCUUUUGUCGCUGCUAACCGCGCGCCAAUACCUGCAAAAAGGACGAAGAAAAGACAUAAACAACAAAGAGAUGGCAGUAGAGAAACAAUAGCGAAACAGAAAUAAUGAACAAUGUAAAUAUUAUCGCUACAAAAGCCAUGACAAUCAAUGUAUUCAAAAUACAAGCAAUCAGGUACAAAAAAAAAAGAAAAAAGAGAGAAAUAAAAAAACAAGAUUUUGAAAAGAACACAAAGAUAGUCUUUUAUUUUUUGUUUAAAAAGAUAUAAUAAAUACAUAUAAAAAAAAAGAGGGAGAGGAAGGGUUCUCACUUGUCGUUCCACCUUUUGCCAUCGUCAAGGACCACUUUCAGCACCCUGAAUAUCUCAGAACCCAUUUGGGUUCCGACGAGGGUCGGAUGAACGCAGCGAGGCUGAAAUUUUUCCUUCGCAUUUUCUUUUUCUUUUUUAUUUUUUCGAUUUCAAAAAAAAAUAUUCGGUUUAGAUCUGGGUUUUAAAAAAUAAUUAAAAAAAAGGGACUAAAAGCAUUUUUUAUUUUCCGGCUAGGCGGAGUCAAAGCGGAGCCAUAGCGGAGGCUCGCCGGUACCCAGGCCGGAUGUGGGAAAAACCGAGAGAAAGGGAGAGCUCUCAGAGUUUUUUUUAAACGCAAACAUAAUCAAAAUUUUUAAAG